GUCAAGUCAUCAUGGCCUUUAUGGGUAGGGCUACACACGUGCUACAAUGGGGCGUACAGAGGGUAGCUACACGGCGACGUGGCGCCAAUCUCAAAAAGUGCGUCUCAGUUCGGAUUGAGGUCUGCAACUCGACCUCAUGAAGUCGGAAUCGCUAGUAAUCGCACAUCAGCAAUGGCGCGGUGAAUACGUUCCCGGACCUU
Molecule: ribosomal RNA, 200 nt
Filed under: uncultured organism
Description: partial small subunit ribosomal RNA
Rfam family: Bacterial small subunit ribosomal RNA
Source: RNAcentral